Molecule: non-coding RNA, 93 nt
Filed under: Capnocytophaga canimorsus
Lineage: Bacteria; Pseudomonadati; Bacteroidota; Flavobacteriia; Flavobacteriales; Flavobacteriaceae
Description: TPP
Rfam family: TPP riboswitch aptamer (THI element)
About the family: Vitamin B(1) in its active form thiamin pyrophosphate (TPP) is an essential coenzyme that is synthesised by coupling of pyrimidine and thiazole moieties in bacteria. The previously detected thiamin-regulatory element, thi box was extended, resulting in a new, highly conserved RNA secondary structure, the THI element, which is widely distributed in eubacteria and also occurs in some archaea.
Source: RNAcentral
CCCGUCUCAAAGGGGUGCUGCGUUUGCGGCUGAGAUUAUACCCAUAGAACUUGGGCUGGUAAUGCAGUCUAAGGAAACGAAGUCAAUAAUAAG